AUGAGACACACAGAGAAGCAGAAAGAUCGGCAGAAGGAGAAGCACGCUCCCGAUGGGGAGCCUGAUGCAGGACUGGAUCCCAGAACCCCAGGAUCACGCCCUAAGCCAAAGACAGAUAUUCAACCACCGAGCCACCCAGACGUCCCAGGGAUCCCCUCUUGCAAGACAACCCAUCAAGCCUGCAGGAUACAUACCACAAUGAGCAGAAGAUUAAUAACAGAUCUGCAGACAAAGAAAAAGGUUGCGUGUCAGCUGGAAAAUAUGUACAAAGAAAAAGGACAAACUGGAAUUAUGAAGAGGGUUUCAUCCUCUGGUGAUUAAUGUAAGUUACACGAUGCAUCAACUUGACAGAGAUGUCAACAAAUCAUAGCAGAUUGUCCUGCUUCCCUGGCCUAACAAAACAUUGGUGCUAUCUUGGAUGUAUCAAUUUUUUUCUACCUGAAAGUUGUUUUGCCCAUUGGAUUUGUUUUCUUUACAUUUUUAUAUGUGGAAAUAUGAACUCCACCCUCUUCUAACAAAAUAAUCAUUUUUCUUCGAAAAAAAAUUUUAAGUAGGUUCUACACCCAGUGUGGUGCUUGAAUUCACAACCCUGAGAUUGAGUCACAUGGUCUGGGGUGCCUGGGUGGCUUUGUCAGUUAAGCAUCUGCCUUGGGCUCAGGUCAUAAUCUCCCUGUUGGGCUCCCCAUGCAGUGGGGAGUCUGCUUCUCUCUCUGCACUCCACCCCCACUCAUGUUCUCUCUCUCUCCCAAAUAAAUAAAUCUUAAAAAAAGUCACACAGCCAGCCCAGAACCCCUAUUCAGAAACAUUUUUAAAGCACAUGCUGAAAAGGUGCCUGGGUGGCUCAGUGGUUGAGCAUCUGCCUUUGGCUCAGGUCGUGACCUGGGGUCCUGGGAUCAAGUCCCGGAGGGAGCCUGCUUCUCCCUCUGCCUAUGUCUCUGCCUCUUGGUGUCUAUCACAAAUGAAGGAAUAAAAUCUUUAAAACACACAUACAUACAUACAUAUACAUAAAGCACAUGCUUAUGAACAUGUUUUUUUCCCACUUUCCACUUUACUUUAACACUGCUGUUGGACAAACAUUCCCCAAAUUCUCCCUUUGUUCCUUUAGGCUCCUGCACUCAAAAUCUUUAAUGCUUUUUCACCUUUAGAACAAGGUCAGUGUUCAUAAAUCUGUCAAUCAAGGCUUCCAUAAUAUGGCCCAACCUCUUUUUUUUUUUAAUUUCUCCCCUACCAAUCCCUAAGUAGACCAAAGUUGAUUUUUUUUACUGCCCCUCAUCCAUGUGGCUUUCUGUCUGUCUCCAAACAUUUGCUCAAGUUGUGAUCCCUCUUGUGUUGGUCAGUUGUGCUGUAGUAACAAACAACUCCCCAAAUCUCUGGAUUACAACAACAAAUAUUUGUUGCUCAUUCAUAUUACAUGUAGGCUUUCACUGGGCUUUAGUUAUGCACCAGGUUCCAACUCAGCUCUAUGUGUCACUUCAUUCUGGAACCCAUACCCAAGAAGAAGCCACUAGCCGGGACAGACUGUAGUCCUGGCAGAAAAACGGAAGCAAACAGGCAGUCAUAUUUAAGGGUUUUGCUCUGAUGUGGCAUAUGUCAGGCCAAAGCAAGUCCCAUUGGCAAGUCCAAUAUUAAUAGACCAACAACAUACACUUCCUCUAUAAGUGGACAUUACAAAUCACACUGCAAUUAACAGGAGUGUAUAAUCUUAUUACAGGAAAGAAAAUACGUUAAUAAUUGAAAAAAAAAAUCCACCUGACUACUCAAAUCAUCUACUCCCCUCCUCUGCUAAUAGGUCCACCCUCUGCUCAAGCCUUGAUUCAAGUCCCAUGUUUAUCCACCUGUCUAAUCUAAAAUGCACUUGUCUUCAUGGAGCAUUGCUCAUCAGUAUUGCACACUUGGCACUUAGCUUAUGCUAGUGCAUGUAAGAAGUUAUCAUAGUCCAUCUCUCUGUCUUGUGUUCCUGACUAGACCAUAACCUUUAGGGGGAUGAGAUUAAAUCUUAUAACUCUUGAUAAUUUCACUUAUUGUAUAAGGUAUGUUCCUGUAUAAUUGUUUGUUGUUGAAGGAGUUACUAAUAUUUUUCCAUCAUGGGAAACAAGUUUCAUCUUCAAAGGAGAAUAGACUUAGUUCAAAGGAGUUUUAUUGCCAAAUUUUAAUGUAGUCUCUCCAUUCUUUAGAACAUUACUAGGAUAAAUAUAUAGAGGCACAGCCUAUUUGGACAUAUAUCUAAGGUCUAAGCAUUUAAACAAAGGGUGUGGUAUAAAAUAGGCCCGUGACAGGUACCACACUACCUUCACCCUUAUUUUAGCCCCAAUAUGAAAACAGUAGCUUGAACAAACAAAAUUGUAACAAUUUCUUUUAAUAAAAGGUAGCUGUGCUAAAAAUGAGAAUUUUUAAAGAUAUCUUGGUAUUUUAAAAUAGUUCUCUCUUCUGGGGUGCCUGAGUGGCUCAGUGGAUUAGGCGUCUGCCUUCAGCUCAGGUCAUAAUCCCCAGGGUCCUGGGAUCGAGUUCCACAUCAGGCUCUCUGCUCAGUGGGGAGUCUGCUUCUCCUUCCCUUCCCCUACCACUCCCCCUGCUUGUGCUCAUGUUCUCUCAUCUUUCACUCUAUCUCUCUAAAAUAAAUAAAUACAAUCUUUUAAAAAGGAAAAUAUAAAAAUAAAAUAAUUAUCUUUUCUUAUAAGAUUCACAGUCCCUAGAACCAGAGUCACAAGUCACAUAAUUCAACAAGAUUUUCCCAGAAGAAAAGUCCUGGCCACAAACCAUUAGGAAGCACAAUCCAACUUCCUUGGGGUACUACUACUACAAAUUUCAUUUUUAAUGUCUUCCUGCCUCUCACUUAGCUAAUCAAUCCUCGGGAAUUUAUCCUGAAUGUUGCAUAUUCAUUACACUAUGCUGCAAAGCAGGACUUUUUCAUAUUUCUUCAGCAGCUACAUUGUUUUUAAAUCACCACUCCAGCAUGACUCUGGCUUUAGGAGGUGACCUCUGUCACAUGAAAUUCAGUGCUUCCAUUCAACAGCUGAUCAGAAUCUCCCAGCACCUCCUCCAGCACAGCUUCCUCGGGUCCACAUCUAUUCUCACAUGCCUGCUUGGCUCUUUUCCCUUAUUUGAAGUUAUGCUUGUGACUCUGAGCAAUGCAAGCAUUACCUCUCCCACCCACAAAUAGAAUCCAUUAAGGAAAAAUUCAUUCCAAACUCAUCUUAGGCUAGUGAGGAAGACUGGACAAACCUCAAGAGGUCUAAAGGUUGAAUUUCAUUUGCAAAACUACCCAGAAGCUCAACUGCUUAUCCAAUCCUUAUCCUAACGAGGAGAAAGGCCUAGGGAUGUGCUGACAGGGAGGAAUUAAGGUUCCACCAGGCACCAGGGAAAACCAGUUUUGUAGCCCAUUGCUGCCCACUUCUCCUAAGAAGGAGGGAGGUGAGGGAGAGAUGAUGUUGAGGGAAUAACAGGUCAGGAAACCUCACUCCUGACCUCUCUUAGAGCCUCAGAGAACAAUUACUCAGUCUGUGUUUCAAACUGAGAAGACCUGGUGUACCUACAAUGAAAAACUUGUUCCUGACUAAUCAAGAGCUCAUUUGUAAGUCAGGUGAUGUGAAAACUCCCUUCCUAAAAAUGGUUUCUUUUUAACAUGAAGGCCAAAAAGCUUUGGAAGGUAAUGAGGCACCAUUAUUUCCUUGGAUUAUAAGAGGUGAUGUUUGGAAAUGAAGAAAAAUUCAUUUGGAAAAGAAAUAUGCAAAGGGGGCUUUAUUUUUAAAAAUCCCAGGGAUGCCUAUCAGGUACCUUGGGCUGUGAGGGUAGAAAGCCAAAGAAUGCAUCGACUUCACUACUCAACAGAAAACAAAAAUUUAUUUGAUUUUUUUUAAUCAAUCUGAGCUUUAGGAAAAAUAAAUUACUCAAAUCUUUAAUUAAAGUAAGGCAAUAUAGGAGGUUGAGGAAUUAAACCUUAGACUACAGUAUAGAAAUAGAAAAUUCCUUUAAGAGAUCUGCCAAGCCACCUUCUCCUCCUCAGAGCUUCAUUUAAAUCAUUCACAAGAAAAGAUAGCUGUUCUAUUUUAAGCAUGUCCAAUGGGAAUGGAGGAGACUAUAUCCUAUCUCAUUGUUAAUAACACUCGUCAAUGCUGGUAAAUUGUUUUUCACAUGUGACCCAAAGGAAAAAAUUAAAGGAUGCUCUAGCUCAUCCCUCAUGAUGACUGACAUGCUAUCUCUAGGGCCUAAUCCCAUUCAGUGGCCUUUCCGUGGAGUCCAAAAAGGGUAUAUGAGGCACUAGAGAUAAGCUAAGGCCUUCCAUAUGUGUCCUUCCUCCUAGCAGAGGAAGAGGGGGAAGAAAGGCUCUCUUUCAACAGGACAUAUCUUCCCAAAUCUUCCAAAAAUCUAGAUAGUAAGAUUCUCUUAAGACCAAUGUUGGCCAUUUUGUUGAUUAAUAGCAAGACAAAAAAGAAAAAAAGAAAGGAAAUUUGAUUAUAAGAAAAAGAAACAUACAUUUUUACAUGUAUGGUUUUCUAGGAUUUAAGUACACAAAAUACAUCAAUGAAUACCCAGAUCCCUCAGGAAAAAAGGAAAACAUUCCAAGAGAAGACAAAUACUGCACUUUCUUUGGAUGUAAAGUACCAAAAAUAUAAUGUCAACUUAAUAUUAUACAAUUGUCCACAAGAAGUUGACUAGCUAAAAGAAAGAAAGGUGUUACAUCCCCAAGGUUUUUUAAAUUUUUUUAUGUUGCAUAUGGUAAGUGGGGUCUACCUUGCUGAGAUAAUAUUUUAGAAGCAUUAGUUCUCAUUCUGAUAGAAAACCAAGUAUCUGGGGAGACACAAUUUCUCCCAGAGCUUCUAAGAAACAAUUUUGUGUAGGUGAUGGAAAAUUAGUUUUCUGAGAUGCCUGGGUGGCUCAGCAGUUGAUCAUCUUUGGCUCGGGGCAUAAUCCUGGAGUCCUGAGAU
This 4925-nucleotide long non-coding RNA is filed under the name Canis lupus familiaris (dog). RNAcentral's name for it is "lncRNA (ENSCAFG00000050366.1, ENSCAFG00845017305.1)". The record is from RNAcentral. Lineage: Eukaryota; Metazoa; Chordata; Mammalia; Carnivora; Canidae.